GAUGAACGCUGGCGGCGUGCUUAACACAUGCAAGUCGAACGGAAAGGCCCAAGCUUGCUUGGGUACUCGAGUGGCGAACGGGUGAGUAACACGUGGGUGAUCUGCCCUGCACUUCGGGAUAAGCCUGGGAAACUGGGUCUAAUACCGGAUAGGACCACAUUUUGGAUGGUGUGGUGGAAAGUUUUUCGGUGUGGGAUGAGCUCGCGGCCUAUCAGCUUGUUGGUGGGGUAAUGGCCUACCAAGGCGUCGACGGGUAGCCGGCCUGAGAGGGUGUACGGCCACAUUGGGAAUGAGGUGCGGCCCAGACUCCUACGGGAGGCAGCAGUGGGGAAUAUUGCACAAUGGGCGCAAGCCUGAUGCAGCGACGCCGCGUGGGGGAUGACGGCCUUCGGGUGGUAAACUCCUUUCGCUAGGGACGAAGCGUUAUGUGACGGUACCUGGAGAAGAAGCACCGGCUAACUACGUG
This 466-nucleotide ribosomal RNA is filed under the name uncultured bacterium. Its description in RNAcentral is "partial 16S ribosomal RNA". It matches the Rfam family "Bacterial small subunit ribosomal RNA", at positions 28 to 507 of the family's 1533-position model. The record is from RNAcentral.